UUGGGUGAAGCGGAGGGACAUUACAGAGUUGAUUCAACUCCUACAACCCCAUGUGAAUAUACCAUACGUUGCCUCGGCAGGGCCGCGUCCCUCCCCCCCUCCGCGGGGUGGGGGGGCGCGGGCUCACCCUGCCGGCGGCCUUUGAACUCUUUUUUUUUUGGCAUUGUAAUUCUGAUUUACUUUUUGAUAUUUUUCAAUUGGUUAAAACUUUCAACAACGGAUCUCUUGGUUCUGGCAUCGAUGAAAAACGCAGCGAAAUGCGAUAAGUAAUGUGAAUUGCAAAAUUCAGUGAAUCAUCGAAUCUUUGAACGCACAUUGCGCCCACCAGUAUUCUGGUGGGCAUGCCUGUUCGAGCGUCAUUUCAACCCCUUAAGCCUCUGUCGCUUAGUGUUGGGGGCCUACGGAUCUCCCGUAGCCCCUGAAAGUUAGUGGCGGUGUCGGCUCGCACUCUAAACGUAGUAAAUUUUAUUUUCCAUCUCGCCUAUCGUGUGUGCCGGUCCCCUGCCGUAAAACACCCCCCUAUAUCAAAAGGUUGACCUCGGAUCAGGUAGGAAUACCCGCUGAACUUAAGCAUAUCUA
Molecule: ribosomal RNA, 579 nt
Filed under: Rosellinia sp. 2 S96
Lineage: Eukaryota; Fungi; Ascomycota; Sordariomycetes; Xylariales; Xylariaceae
Description: eukaryotic LSU rRNA
Rfam family: 5.8S ribosomal RNA (bases 206-359)
Source: RNAcentral